This 66-nucleotide transfer RNA is filed under the name Pachyrhinus yasumatsui. RNAcentral describes it as "tRNA-Pro". The record is from RNAcentral. Lineage: Eukaryota; Metazoa; Arthropoda; Insecta; Coleoptera; Curculionidae.
CAGGAAAUAGUUUAUAAAUAAAAUUUUAAUUUUGGAGAUUAAUGAUAGGGUUUACUCUUUUCCUGA